CCUACGGGAGGCAGCAGUGGGGAAUAUUGGACAAUGGGCGCGAGCCUGAUCCAGCCAUGCCGCGUGUGUGAAGAAGGCCUUCGGGUUGUAAAGCACUUUCAGCGAGGAGGAAAGGUUGAUGGUUAAUAUCCAUCAGCUGUGACGUUACUCGCAGAAGAAGGACCGGCUAACUCCGUGCCAGCAGCCGCGGUAAUACGGAGGGUCCAAGCGUUAAUCGGAAUUACUGGGCGUGAAGCGCGCGUAGGCGGUUAGGUCAGUCAGAUGUGAAAGCCCUGGGCUCAACCUGGGAACUGCAUCUGAUACUGCUUAACUAGAGUUUGGUAGAGGAGUGUGGAAUUUCCUGUGUAGCGGUGAAAUGCGUAGAUAUAGGAAGGAACACCAGUGGCGAAGGCGACACUCUGGACCAAAACUGACGCUGAGGUGCGAAAGCGUGGGGAGCAAACAGGAUUAGAUACCCUGGUAGUCCACGCCGUAAACGAUGUCUACUAGCCGUUGGGGGACUUGAUCCUUUAGUGGCGCAGCUAACGCGAUAAGUAGACCGCCUGGGGAGUACGGUCGCAAGAUUAAAACUCAAAGGAAUUGACGGGG
RNAcentral lists this ribosomal RNA (588 nucleotides) under uncultured bacterium. Its description in RNAcentral is "bacterial SSU rRNA". It matches the Rfam family "Bacterial small subunit ribosomal RNA", at positions 338 to 918 of the family's 1533-position model. The record is from RNAcentral.